GUGGUAGUUCAGUUGGUUAGAAUACCGGCCUGUCACGCCGGGGGUCGCGGGUUCGAGUCCCGUCCAC
This 67-nucleotide transfer RNA is filed under the name Vibrio alginolyticus. RNAcentral's name for it is "tRNA-Asp". It matches the Rfam family "tRNA". Rfam says of the family: Transfer RNA (tRNA) molecules are approximately 80 nucleotides in length. Their secondary structure includes four short double-helical elements and three loops (D, anti-codon, and T loops). Further hydrogen bonds mediate the characteristic L-shaped molecular structure. tRNAs have two regions of fundamental functional importance: the anti-codon, which is responsible for specific mRNA codon recognition, and the 3' end, to which the tRNAs corresponding amino acid is attached (by aminoacyl-tRNA synthetases). tRNAs cope with the degeneracy of the genetic code in two manners: having more than one tRNA (with a specific anti-codon) for a particular amino acid; and 'wobble' base-pairing, i.e. permitting non-standard base-pairing at the 3rd anti-codon position. The record is from RNAcentral. Lineage: Bacteria; Pseudomonadati; Pseudomonadota; Gammaproteobacteria; Vibrionales; Vibrionaceae. RNAcentral also lists the same sequence under 4 other names.